GUGCUCACUUCGGCAGCACAGAUAUUAAAAUUGGAACAACACGGAGAAGAUUAACAUGGCCUCCCACGCAAGGAUGACACGCAGAUUUGUGAGGCCGUCCAUAUUUUC
This 108-nucleotide small nuclear RNA is filed under the name Zalophus californianus (California sea lion). Lineage: Eukaryota; Metazoa; Chordata; Mammalia; Carnivora; Otariidae. RNAcentral also lists the same sequence under 1 other name. The record is from RNAcentral.